AAAUGAUAUGUGAUUUUUUCAACAAAAAGAGUUUUUUUAUAUACAUACAAUAUUCGUAAGAAAGACUCAUUUUUAUUGAUUGGUACCUUUAUUUCUUGUUCUUUAUGAUUCACAUUUAUAUCUAUAGAAUCCGCCGUUAUGCCACAGAAAUCUAAUUAGUUGAACUUAAUAAAAGAAAGAAUCCAAAAAAAGACCUUCCUUUUUAUCUCUGUCUAUUUUCUUCGUUCUACUUUUAAUUUAUAAGGAAUAAAAUAUACCAAGGGGUUUAAGAACCCAUUGCCUAAUGAAAACUUUAAUCUUUUUCUACUAACCGGUCAAAUUCGAGGAAAGAAUACUCCUAAAUUUCAUUUUUAAAUUUGAAUGAGACUAGUAAUUAAAGUUAUUAAUCUGUUAAAGGAUACGUGGUUUGAUAAAAGAGAUCUUAGUUAUUUUUUUAUUAAUUUUAUUUUACCCCUUUCGAUAAAUAUCGAUAAAUAGAAAAUCAAGUUAAUUUUAUAUAACAAGUUAAUUUUAUAUAAAAUGUCGGAUAUUAUAGCGUUUUCUAUAAUCUAUAAAUGUUUUUUUUUAUUGAAAUGGAAAAUAAUAAAUCAAUUCCAUAAUGAACUAGUUAAUGAUUUGGAACAAACUAACUAAAAGUUCUUAUUUUAUUAGGACAAGUUUUUUAUCUUAGUUAAUCCUAUGAUUCAUAGCAGAAUCAAG
This 699-nucleotide long non-coding RNA is filed under the name Panax ginseng (ginseng). RNAcentral describes it as "long non-coding RNA (PGIN_LNC013819)". The record is from RNAcentral. Lineage: Eukaryota; Viridiplantae; Streptophyta; Magnoliopsida; Apiales; Araliaceae.